Molecule: transfer RNA, 73 nt
Filed under: Achromatium sp. WMS2
Lineage: Bacteria; Pseudomonadati; Pseudomonadota; Gammaproteobacteria; Thiotrichales; Thiotrichaceae
Rfam family: tRNA
About the family: Transfer RNA (tRNA) molecules are approximately 80 nucleotides in length. Their secondary structure includes four short double-helical elements and three loops (D, anti-codon, and T loops).
Source: Rfam by way of RNAcentral
CAAGCUAUAGCUCAGAUGGUAGAGCAUACGACUAUUAAUCGUACUGUUGUUGGUUCAAUUCCAACUGGCUUGU